UACGAAGGGGGCUAGCGUUGUUCGGAUUUAUUGGGCGUAAAGAGCGUGUAGGCGGCCAAGCAGGUCCGUUGUGAAAACUGGAGGCUUAACCUCCAGACGUCGACGGAAACCGCGUGGCUAGAGUCCGGAAGAGGAGAGUGGAAUUCCUGGUGUAGCGGUGAAAUGCGCAGAUAUCAGGAAGAACACCAAUGGCGAAGGCAGCUCUCUGGGACGGUACUGACGCUAAGACGCGAAAGCGUGGGGAGCGAACAGG
This 253-nucleotide ribosomal RNA is filed under the name uncultured bacterium. Its description in RNAcentral is "partial 16S ribosomal RNA". It matches the Rfam family "Bacterial small subunit ribosomal RNA", at positions 524 to 776 of the family's 1533-position model. The record is from RNAcentral.